UCGUAACAAGGUCUCCGUUGGUGAACCAGCGGAGGGAUCAUUACUGAGUUUACGCUCUACAACCCUUUGUGAACAUACCUAUAACUGUUGCUUCGGCGGGUAGGGUCUCCGUGACCCUCCCGGCCUCCCGCCCCCGGGCGGGUCGGCGCCCGCCGGAGGAUAACCAAACUCUGAUUUAACGACGUUUCUUCUGAGUGGUACAAGCAAAUAAUCAAAACUUUUAACAACGGAUCUCUUGGUUCUGGCAUCGAUGAAGAACGCAGCGAAAUGCGAUAAGUAAUGUGAAUUGCAGAAUUCAGUGAAUCAUCGAAUCUUUGAACGCACAUUGCGCCCGCCAGCAUUCUGGCGGGCAUGCCUGUUCGAGCGUCAUUUCAACCCUCAAGCUCUGCUUGGUGUUGGGGCCCUACAGCUGAUGUAGGCCCUCAAAGGUAGUGGCGGACCCUCCCGGAGCCUCCUUUGCGUAGUAACUUUACGUCUCGCACUGGGAUCCGGAGGGACUCUUGCCGUAAAACCCCCCAAUUUCCAAAGGUGA
This 532-nucleotide ribosomal RNA is filed under the name fungal endophyte. Its description in RNAcentral is "eukaryotic LSU rRNA". The stretch from base 216 to 369 matches the Rfam family "5.8S ribosomal RNA". The record is from RNAcentral. Lineage: Eukaryota; Fungi.